UGGGGAAUAUUGGACAAUGGGGGGAACCCUGAUCCAGCCAUGCCGCGUGUGUGAAGAAGGCCUUAUGGUUGUAAAGCACUUUAAGCGAGGAGGAGGGUACUGGUAUUAAUACUACCAGGUACUGGACGUUACUCGCAGAAUAAGCACCGGCUAACUCUGUGCCAGCAGCCGCGGUAAUACAGAGGGUGCGAGCGUUAAUCGGAUUUACUGGGCGUAAAGCGUGCGUAGGCGGCUAAUUGAGUCGGAUGUGAAAUCCCCGAGCUUAACUUGGGAAUUGCAUUUGAUACUGGUUAGCUAGAGUGUGGGAGAGGAUGGUAGAAUUCCAGGUGUAGCGGUGAAAUGCGUAGAGAUCUGGAGGAAUACCGAUGGCGAAGGCAGCCAUCUGGCCUAACACUGACGCUGAGGUACGAAAGCAUGGGGAGCAAACAGG
This 430-nucleotide ribosomal RNA is filed under the name Pseudomonadota bacterium. RNAcentral describes it as "Proteobacteria bacterium partial 16S ribosomal RNA". It matches the Rfam family "Bacterial small subunit ribosomal RNA", at positions 355 to 776 of the family's 1533-position model. Lineage: Bacteria; Pseudomonadati; Pseudomonadota. The record is from RNAcentral.